UGAGGAAUAUUGCGCAAUGGGGGCAACCCUGACGCAGCAACGCCGCGUGAGUGAGGAAGGUUUUCGGACCGUAAAGCUCUGUCGAGUGGGAAGAAAUGUAUCGUGGCUAAUAUCCAUGAUACUUGACGGUACCGCUAAAGGAAGCACCGGCUAACUCCGUGCCAGCAGCCGCGGUAAUACGGGGGGUGCGAGCGUUGUUCGGAAUUAUUGGGCGUAAAGAGCGUGUAGGCGGCUGAAUAAGUCAGAUGUGAAAUCCCUGGGCUUAACCCAGGAAGUGCAUUUGAAACUAGUCAGCUUGAGUAGGGGAGAGGAAAGUGGAAUUCCUGGUGUAGAGGUGAAAUUCGUAGAUAUCAGGAGGAACACCGGUGGCGAAGGCGACUUUCUGGCCCUAUACUGACGCUGAGACGCGAGAGCGUGGGUAGCAAACAG
Molecule: ribosomal RNA, 429 nt
Filed under: uncultured bacterium
Lineage: Bacteria
Description: bacterial SSU rRNA
Rfam family: Bacterial small subunit ribosomal RNA
Source: RNAcentral